ACUUUUUUUGUGUUUUUAUUUAUAAAUACAGAAUAUAUAUUUUUCUUGAAUGCAGUGAAUUAAAAAGUAUACUUCUUUAUCCGAAUGUGUUUUCCUAUUCUGGUGAAAAGCUAAGGAAGUGUGACAGGGAGGAACAGGGGGGGGGGGGGGCAAAGAUGUGAAGAUAUGACAAAGUCAUUUAUAGCAUUAGUGAGGACACAAAAUGACACAUUGAACUGGAAACAUACUUUUCUUGGUAACGUUUUAUUUUAAAGACAUGUUUUAGCACAUAGAAGUGUUUAGUAACAUAACAUUCAGCCAUAUUUGGUUUCAUACUCUCCUUGACUCCUUCUCUUAUUAAUUGACGUCAUAAAAGACCACAUGACUUAUAAAAAAAUGACACAGAAUAAUGUUCAAAGAAAUUGAGUUCUACUUUCGAUCACAAGCGAGAGGAGUAAUUUCGGUGUUUUCCUUGUUUAGAAACUGCCUCGCAAAAGUUAUCGUAUUUUUUAAGCAAACACAUGUAUUGUUUAAACACUCACGCUGUCACGUGAUUUUUUACUAUAAAAGCAGAUUACACUUUUAAACAUUUAAAUAUAAAAAAGUAAAAGGUUAAAGCUUAAGAAAGAAGAAUUAUUACAUUGCUCAAAAGUUCGUUGUCACACCAUGGAAUCGUCAAAUUCAACAAAUAAUGUUAAACAAACCAAAUUCAAAUGGAACAAAAAGAUAUUGGACUCCAUCAUAAUUCAUCGUAAAAAUUACCAAGAAAACGCGAAGAGAAAAGAAGCUACAACGACAGAAAAAGAACAAACAAACAAAUACUCGCACGUUACCUUCGCAAUUAAAGAAGAAUUCUGAAGCUCUCGGAAAAUACAAUCACAAAGGAAAAACUAUGUUUGCCCGAUGGUUUCACACAAUUUAUCCGCUCGUGCUUUAGGUUAUUGUCGACACGAGUCUUACUUACAAUGUUUCUUGGAGUAGGAAGUCAUUUUUGUAUACGAGUAUAUGUGAUUGGCAUUUAAGCUCAUCUAUUUCCCUGCGACUUAUGGCUGCUAUUUCGUAGCAAAUAUGAACCCAGAAUGCCUAGUAAUAAAAUGUUUGAUUUAUAUAUUUUAAAUUUCUUUAUCAAGUACAACAGACGGAUUUUUAAUACCCUUAGUGGAAACAAAAAAUGAUCAACUGA
Long non-coding RNA from Hydractinia symbiolongicarpus, 1162 nucleotides. RefSeq lists it as uncharacterized. The record is from RefSeq and is a predicted model, not a curated record. The transcript is spliced from 2 exons. NCBI's taxonomy places the organism in Eukaryota, Metazoa, Cnidaria, Hydrozoa, Anthoathecata, Hydractiniidae.